Molecule: ribosomal RNA, 250 nt
Filed under: uncultured bacterium
Lineage: Bacteria
Description: partial 16S ribosomal RNA
Rfam family: Bacterial small subunit ribosomal RNA
Source: RNAcentral
UACGUAGGGAGCAAGCGUUGUCCGGAUUUACUGGGUGUAAAGGGUGCGUAGGCGGCACUGCAAGUCAGGCGUGAAAUAUAUGGGCUUAACCCAUAGACUGCGUUUGAAACUGCUUUUCUUGAGUAUCGGAGAGGUAAUCGGAAUUCCUUGUGUAGCGGUGAAAUGCGUAGAUAUACGGAGGAACACCAGUGGCGAAGGCGGCCUGCUGGACAGCAACUGACGCUGAGGCGCGAAAGCGUGGGGAGCAAAC